This 2165-nucleotide ribosomal RNA is filed under the name Campylobacter coli. Its description in RNAcentral is "partial 23S ribosomal RNA". It matches the Rfam family "Bacterial large subunit ribosomal RNA", at positions 922 to 2925 of the family's 2925-position model. The record is from RNAcentral. Lineage: Bacteria; Pseudomonadati; Campylobacterota; Epsilonproteobacteria; Campylobacterales; Campylobacteraceae.
GGGCAUACACCAAUGUACCAAACCCUAUCAAACUCCGAAUACCUUAUAUGUAAUCACAGCAGUCAGGCGGCGAGUGAUAAAAUCCGUCGUCAAGAGGGAAACAACCCAGACUACCAGCUAAGGUCCCUAAAUCUUACUUAAGUGGAAAACGAUGUGAAGUUACUUAAACAACCAGGAGGUUGGCUUAGAAGCAGCCAUCCUUUAAAGAAAGCGUAAUAGCUCACUGGUCUAGUGAUUUUGCGCGGAAAAUAUAACGGGGCUAAAGUAAGUACCGAAGCUGUAGACUUGCGCACAACUUAGAUUAUUUAAGUUUAGAAUAUGAGAAACUAAGUUAUAUGUUUAGUUAUAUUUUUACUGAUUUUUAUAGAGUAAAGAUAGAAAUAAAACUUAGUAAAAUCAGUAAAAAUAUUCUUAGACUAAAGUUAAGUAGUUUAAGUUGUGUGCAAGUGGUAGGAGAGCGUUCUAUUUGCGUCGAAGGUAUACCGGUAAGGAGUGCUGGAGCGAAUAGAAGUGAGCAUGCAGGCAUGAGUAGCGAUAAUUAAUGUGAGAAUCAUUAACGCCGUAAACCCAAGGUUUCCUACGCGAUGCUCGUCAUCGUAGGGUUAGUCGGGUCCUAAGUCGAGUCCGAAAGGGGUAGACGAUGGCAAAUUGGUUAAUAUUCCAAUACCAACAUUAGUGUGCGAUGGAAGGACGCUUAGGGCUAAGGGGGCUAGCGGAUGGAAGUGCUAGUCUAAGGUCGUAGGAGGUUAUACAGGCAAAUCCGUAUAACAAUACUCCGAGAACUGAAAGGCUUUUUGAAGUCUUCGGAUGGAUAGAAGAACCCCUGAUGCCAUCGAGCCAAGAAAAGUUUCUAAGUUUAGCUAAUGUUGCCCGUACCGUAAACCGACACAGGUGGGUGGGAUGAGUAUUCUAAGGCGCGUGGAAGAACUCUCUUUAAGGAACUCUGCAAAAUAGCACCGUAUCUUCGGUAUAAGGUGUGGUUAGCUUUGUAUUAGGAUUUACUCCGAAAGCAAGGAAACUUACAACAAAGAGUCCCUCCCGACUGUUUACCAAAAACACAGCACUCUGCUAACUCGUAAGAGGAUGUAUAGGGUGUGACGCCUGCCCGGUGCUCGAAGGUUAAUUGAUGGGGUUAGCAUUAGCGAAGCUCUUGAUCGAAGCCCGAGUAAACGGCGGCCGUAACUAUAACGGUCCUAAGGUAGCGAAAUUCCUUGUCGGUUAAAUACCGACCUGCAUGAAUGGCGUAACGAGAUGGGAGCUGUCUCAAAGAGGGAUCCAGUGAAAUUGUAGUGGAGGUGAAAAUUCCUCCUACCCGCGGCAAGACGGAAAGACCCCGUGGACCUUUACUACAGCUUGACACUGCUACUUGGAUAAGAAUGUGCAGGAUAGGUGGGAGGCUUUGAGUAUAUGACGCCAGUUGUAUAUGAGCCAUUGUUGAGAUACCACUCUUUCUUAUUUGGGUAGCUAACCAGCUUGAGUUAUCCUCAAGUGGGACAAUGUCUGGUGGGUAGUUUGACUGGGGCGGUCGCCUCCCAAAUAAUAACGGAGGCUUACAAAGGUUGGCUCAGAACGGUUGGAAAUCGUUCGUAGAGUAUAAAGGUAUAAGCCAGCUUAACUGCAAGACAUACAAGUCAAGCAGAGACGAAAGUCGGUCUUAGUGAUCCGGUGGUUCUGUGUGGAAGGGCCAUCGCUCAAAGGAUAAAAGGUACCCCGGGGAUAACAGGCUGAUCUCCCCCAAGAGCUCACAUCGACGGGGAGGUUUGGCACCUCGAUGUCGGCUCAUCGCAUCCUGGGGCUGGAGCAGGUCCCAAGGGUAUGGCUGUUCGCCAUUUAAAGCGGUACGCGAGCUGGGUUCAGAACGUCGUGAGACAGUUCGGUCCCUAUCUGCCGUGGGCGUAAGAAGAUUGAAGAGAUUUGACCCUAGUACGAGAGGACCGGGUUGAACAAACCACUGGUGUAGCUGUUGUUCUGCCAAGAGCAUCGCAGCGUAGCUAAGUUUGGAAAGGAUAAACGCUGAAAGCAUCUAAGCGUGAAGCCAACUCUAAGAUGAAUCUUCUCUAAGCUCUCUAGAAGACUACUAGUUUGAUAGGCUGGGUGUGUAAUGGAUGAAAGUCCUUUAGCUGACCAGUACUAAUAGAGCGUUUGGCUUAUCUUUAAUAAAGCAU